GGAGAUGUGGCCGAGUGGUCGAAGGCGCUCCCCUGCUAAGGGAGUAGGCCCGGAAGGGUCUCGAGGGUUCGAAUCCCUUCAUCUCCG
Molecule: transfer RNA, 87 nt
Filed under: Puniceibacterium sediminis
Lineage: Bacteria; Pseudomonadati; Pseudomonadota; Alphaproteobacteria; Rhodobacterales; Paracoccaceae
Rfam family: tRNA
About the family: Transfer RNA (tRNA) molecules are approximately 80 nucleotides in length. Their secondary structure includes four short double-helical elements and three loops (D, anti-codon, and T loops).
Source: Rfam by way of RNAcentral